GAGCAGGUCAGGUUCACCCAGCUACCUGGUGACACCGAACCUGAUGGACUGAUCCUCGCUGAGGUGUCUUUGGGAGCAUCUGAAGAAAAUAGUAGCUGGAAGAACAGGUGAUGUUGUAUCCGUCGUGCUUGUCAGACAGAGUGAUGGUCUUCUGGAUUUUAGUCAUAAAGUCCAAAGGUUGUUCUGCUGCCAUCAAAUGUUUUUCCUGGUCCAGCACUAAAGUUACACGGGAUUUGCAAACAAGAUCCACU
Molecule: long non-coding RNA, 251 nt
Organism: Thunnus maccoyii (southern bluefin tuna)
Lineage: Eukaryota; Metazoa; Chordata; Actinopteri; Scombriformes; Scombridae
Exons: 3
Source: RefSeq, a predicted model, not a curated record